UACGUAGGCAGCAAGCGUUGUUCGGAGUUACUGGGCGUAAAGGGUGUGUAGGCGGUUCUUUAAGUUUGGUGUGAAAUCUCCCGGCUCAACUGGGAGGUGCGCCGAAUACUGAGGGACUAGAGUACGGGAGAGGAAAGUGGAAUUCCUGGUGUAGCGGUGAAAUGCGUAGAUAUCAGGAGGAACACCGGUGGCGAAGGCGGCUCUCUGGACCGAUACUGACGCUGAGGCGCGAAAGCGUGGGGAGCAAACAGG
RNAcentral lists this ribosomal RNA (252 nucleotides) under uncultured bacterium. RNAcentral describes it as "partial 16S ribosomal RNA". It matches the Rfam family "Bacterial small subunit ribosomal RNA", at positions 524 to 776 of the family's 1533-position model. The record is from RNAcentral.